CCUACGGGUGGCAGCAGUGGGGAAUAUUGCGCAAUGGGCGAAAGCCUGACGCAGCGACGCCGCGUGAGGGAUGAAGGUCUUCGGAUCGUAAACCUCUGUCAGCAGGGAAGAACGGUCACUGUGCUAAUCAGCAGUGAAUUGACGGUACCUUCAAAGGAAGCACCGGCUAACUCCGUGCCAGCAGCCGCGGUAAUACGGAGGGUGCGAGCGUUAAUCGGAAUUACUGGGCGUAAAGCGCUCGUAGGCGGGAUGUCAAGUCAAGGGUGAAAUCCCCGCGCUCAACGUGGGAACUGCCUUUGAAACUGGGAAACUGGAGUGUGUGAGAGGAUAGUGGAAUUCCAGGUGUAGGAGUGAAAUCCGUAGAUAUCUGGAGGAACAUCAGUGGCGAAGGCGACUAUCUGGAACAUAACUGACGCUGAGGAGUGAAAGCGUGGGUAGCAAACAGGAUUAGAUACCCGAGUAGUC
RNAcentral lists this ribosomal RNA (465 nucleotides) under uncultured bacterium. RNAcentral describes it as "partial 16S ribosomal RNA". It matches the Rfam family "Bacterial small subunit ribosomal RNA", at positions 338 to 795 of the family's 1533-position model. The record is from RNAcentral.